RNAcentral lists this ribosomal RNA (468 nucleotides) under uncultured bacterium. Its description in RNAcentral is "partial 16S ribosomal RNA". It matches the Rfam family "Bacterial small subunit ribosomal RNA", at positions 28 to 507 of the family's 1533-position model. The record is from RNAcentral.
GACGAACGCUGGCGGCGUGCUUAAUACAUGCAAGUCGAACGGAAAGGCCCUGCUUUUGUGGGGUGCUCGAGUGGCGAACGGGUGAGUAACACGUGAGUAACCUGCCCUUGACUUUGGGAUAACUUCAGUAAACUGGGUCUCAUACCGGAUAGGAGCUCCUGCGGCAUGGUGGGUUUUGGAAAGUUUCGGCGGUUGGGGAUGGACUCGAGGCUUAGCAGCUUGUUGGUGGGGUAGUGGCUUACCAAGGCUUUGACGGGUAGCCGGCCUGAGAGGGUGACCGGCCACAUUGGGACUGAGAUGCGGCCCAGACUCCUACGGGAGGCAGCAGUGGGGAAUAUUGCACGAUGGGCGGAAGCCUGAUGCAGCAACGCCGCGUGCGGGAUGACGGCCUUCGGGUUGUAACCCGCUUUCGCCUGUGACGAAGCGUGAGUGACGGUAAUGGGUAAAGAAGCACCGGCUAACUACGUG